Molecule: ribosomal RNA, 274 nt
Filed under: uncultured bacterium
Lineage: Bacteria
Description: partial 16S ribosomal RNA
Rfam family: Bacterial small subunit ribosomal RNA
Source: RNAcentral
AUACGUAGGGUGCGAGCGUUAAUCGGAAUUACUGGGCGUAAAGCGUGCGCAGGCGGUUUUGUAAGUCAGAUGUGAAAUCCCCGGGCUUAACCUGGGAACUGCGUUUGAAACUGCAAGGCUCGAGUGUGGCAGAGGGGGGUGGAAUUCCGCGUGUAGCAGUGAAAUGCGUAGAGAUGUGGAGGAACACCGAUGGCGAAGGCAGCCCCCUGGGUUAACACUGACGCUCAGGCACGAAAGCAUGGGGAGCAAACAGGAUUAGAAACCCGGGUAGUCC